CAAAACCUCCUUUCAGUCGCAGUUAGUGACAGAGAGAGAGAGAGAGAGAUAGAGGUGUUUUGUGUCAAGAGGAUUUCCAUUGAAAUGGAGUGCUUCAGUGUUUUCGUUCAGUUGAUGUUGGUAAGCGUUGCCUCUGCCGGGAUAGAUGGAAUACAUUGGACAUAUACAGAAGGGGCCCUGGACCAAGUGCACUGGGCGGAGAACUAUCCUGCGUGUGGCGGCCGGAAACAGUCCCCCAUUGACAUCCAGAGGCAGAGCGUGCGACACAACCCCCACAUGAUACAGCUGGAGCUCACCGGAUAUGAUGCUCAGAAGGGGAACUUCCUCAUGAAAAACAACGGACACUCAGUUGAAAUCGUCCUCCCUCCCAGCAUGGUGAUCACCAAGGGUCUCCCCGGGCACUACACGGCCGUCCAGAUGCACCUCCACUGGGGCGGCUGGGACCUGGAGGAGAGCGGGGCAGAGCACACUCUGGACGGCAUCAGAUACAUGGCAGAGCUCCACGUUGUCCAUUAUAACUCUGAUAAGUACAAGAGCUUUCAAGAGGCCAGCGACAAGCCCGACGGACUGGCAGUUCUAGCCUUCUUCUUCGAGGACGGACAUUUUGAGAACACCUACUACAGCGAUUUCAUCAACAACCUGGAAAAAGUCAAGUACACAGGCCAGUCCCUGAACAUAUCCACCCUCAACGUGCGCUCCAUGCUACCUGAGAACCUGAACCAUUUCUUCAGGUACCAGGGCUCUCUCACCACCCCUCCCUGUUACGAGAGCAUCCUGUGGACCGUGUUUGACACACCCAUCACCCUCUCUCACAACCAGAUCAGGAAGUUGGAAAGCACUCUGAUGGACAUGGACAAUAGGACCCUGUGGAAUGAUUACCGCAUGGCCCAACCUCUCAACGACCGCGUGGUCGAGUCCUCCUUCCUGCCUGGCCUGAGGAAAGGCACUUUCUGUCGACAUGAUGAAAUAGAAUCAAAGCUCCUGAAGAUUGAGGGUCUGAUAACCUCACUUGGAAAACACAUACGUGCAAGUGCAAUUGGGGAUGCAAGGCCUUCCGAACAUGAGCCCCGAGUGAUGUCUCCCCUAGUGCUCCACUUCCCAGAGAGCAACACCGAGAGCUAUGCCCGGGCCCACCUGGCUCACUCCAUGGACCUGCACUCCUUCACCGCCUGCAUGCACCUGAAGACACGCCCUGGAGAGAUACACACUGUCCUGUCAUACUCCAGCCAGGGCAACGACAACGAACUGAUGAUCACCGUGGGAUAUGAGGUGGGUCUGUGGAUCGGCAACGAGUUUGUCAACCUGCCCCACAACUUCCACUCCCGUGACUGGGUCAACUACUGUGUCACCUGGUCGUCCCACUCCGGGGGGGCUGAGCUGUGGAUCAACGGAGUGGUGGGGGAGGAGCAGUACCUCCGGAGGAGAUACACAGUCAGCCCAGCAGGGGUCUUCAUCCUGGGGAAGGACCAGGACGGCUUCCUGGGGAUCUCUGACAGGGACGCCUUCGUGGGUCAGAUGACGGAUGUCAACGUGUGGGACUACGUUUUGAACUCGGCUGAGAUCCGGGAACAGAUGUCCUGUGAGGACACCGCCUCUCCCAGGGGGAAUGUGUUUAGCUGGGGGGUCACACCUCUGAGUCUCUAUGGAGGGGUGCAGCUGGAGACAGACUACAGGUGUCACUGAGGGGAGGGGUGCAGCUGGAGACAGACUACAGGUGUCACUGAGGGGAGGGGUGCAGCUGGAGACAGACUACAGGUGUCACUGAGGGGAGGGGUGCAGCUGGAGACAGACUACAGGUGUACUGGGUGGUGUUAAGUCGGGCACAACGUAGCAAAACGCAUUGAAAUGGGGAAUAAAAUAUAAAUGAUGUCUUGUCAAUAUAUCAAAUCUAUCCUUUACUGCUAACUAUUGAGUAUGAAGGAUAUCUCAUCUAUUUGAGACAUGGGUAACGGGCUCAGUAUAACAAUGUUUAUUGUAUAAGGGAAGGGAAUCGCAGCAGAUCUCUGAAUGUCCGUGUGGGCUCAGAGCAUCAGCAAUCCAUCGUAUUCGUAUCUUUUGUUUUCUUAAUAAAGUUCUAUAUUAAGCA
Molecule: RNA transcript, 2086 nt
Organism: Oncorhynchus keta (chum salmon)
Lineage: Eukaryota; Metazoa; Chordata; Actinopteri; Salmoniformes; Salmonidae
Gene name: carbonic anhydrase 6-like
Exons: 12
Source: RefSeq, a predicted model, not a curated record